AUUGAAACCUUGUUGUACAGAUGGAACAUUGGCUGUGGAUUCUUCUUGCUGCUCUUUUCUUUGGUAAGACACAAAGAUCAACAUGUUUCCUCUUCAAACACUUCAACACAUUACUGAGCUGUACAUGAAGAGCUGUUCAAGCUGCUGAUUGUUGUCCUUCAAUCAAUCAUCUUUAUUGAUUCAUCUCUUCCUCUGCAUGUUCUGUUCUUCCUCAGAGUGUAAAGGAGAAGACAAAGUGAUCCAACCAGGAGGAGAAGUCAUUGCUGCUGAAGGAGACUCUGUCACACUCAACUGUUCCUUUAAGACCAGUUCAGCAGGCACCCCGUAUUUGUUCUGGUACAAACAAGAAGUGAACAGUUACCCAAAGUACAUGUUGAAACGUGACACCUAUGGAACAGAAGAAAAUGCUCCAGAAUUUGGAACAAAAGACAAUUCUCCAGAGUUCAAGAAAGACAGAUUUAAUGCAGAAGUCAAAGACAAAUCAGUUCCUCUGACGAUCCAGAAGCUUCAUGUGUCAGACUCUUCUGUGUACUACUGUGCUCUGCAGCCCACAGUGACAGGAAACAACAAAACUCUGUACAAAAACCUGGAAAGACAAUUCAGUAUCCUUACAAACAACCAAAGGGUGCUAUGAAAUGAAAUAAAUAAAUAAAUAAAGUGCAUGUAAAUAAUCAGCAGCACUGCUUUAGUCUACAAAUACGCAGAUGAGACUUAGAUUUACAGCAUUGUCACAACAUACUCGACUUGUGACCAGGGGAGACGGAGCUUUUUCAGUUGCUGGUCCCAAACUCUGGAAUGUGCCCCCCAUUCCAUGAGGUCUGCCAGUUCUGUUUAUGAUUUUAAAGGGGCCACACUAUAUCCAUAUAUAUCAUCAUAUAUUACCUUUGGACCACUAAGAAACGAAUGAUUUAUGAAAUGUUUCAUAUUUUGUGAGUUUUUUCCUACCCAGAAGUAAAACGACUCGAUUCGUGAAGCUCAUUCCAGUGCGGCAUGUGGCUGCACUGCUGCUGCAGUCCAUUUCAUGACGUCAUCCCAAAGAAAUCCGUCUCUGCAUUUCUCCCACGAAAAUAAUCCAAACUUCUUCAAAGAUGGAUGCACAUACAAUAUAUCUGCCUUUGGUGGGCCUGGCCAUCGCUACACUGGUCCACAACACACAUCAAGGAGUGAAAGCAGAACAACUUUCUGCAGAUAAACACAAACAAACUGAGAUAAUCAUCUUUGGUCCAGAGAAAUUCAGAAAAAGUGAUGACAGCCCUCCUAAUUUUGUUUCUCUAAAAUCCACAACUCAGGUUAGAAAUCUAGAAUUUAUCAUGAAGUCAGGCCAGAAAUCUGGACCUUCUCAUAAACUCAGACUUGAACUCACAUUAAAUCUAUAACAUCAUCAGGAUCUUACCAUUUUAAAAAAUAUCACCAGAAUAAAAGUUUACUAAACCAGACCUAGCAGGAGAGGCAACAAGGAGCAAAAUCAAUCUACAACUUAACUGAAUCUGUAAAAUCCCAGUGUAUCUAACACACAAAAAACCUCAGAUUCAAGAAUAACAGUGUGGUUUUUUCCCUUAUCUAACCUAAAAAAAUAAAGCUUAAGCCUGAGGACAGUUUGUUGAACAUAAGUACAACAACUCCCCAUAUCAUUAAAAAAAUCUAGUUUGUAUGGAAAUUCUGAGAUCACAGAAGACACAAACUGCCUCAAUGAUUCACAGACAUAUAUAAAAUAAUAAUCAC
Non-coding RNA from Oryzias melastigma (Indian medaka), 1722 nucleotides. Lineage: Eukaryota; Metazoa; Chordata; Actinopteri; Beloniformes; Adrianichthyidae. The record is from the annotation of a RefSeq genome assembly.